GACGAACGCUGGCGGCGUGCUUAACACAUGCAAGUCGAGCGGUAAGGCCCUUUCGGGGGUACGACGAGCGGCGAACGGGUGAGUAACACGUGGGUGACCUGCCCUCAGCUCUGGGAUAAGCCUGGGAAACCGGGUCUAAUACUGGAUAUGACUCCAUGACGCAUGUUGGUGGGGUGGAAAGCCUUGUGCGGCUGAGGAUGGGCCCGCGGCCUAUCAGCUUGUUGGUGGGGUGAGGCCUACCAAGGCGACGACGGGUAGCCGGCCUGAGAGGGCGACCGGCCACACUGGGACUGAGACA
This 298-nucleotide ribosomal RNA is filed under the name uncultured bacterium. Its description in RNAcentral is "partial 16S ribosomal RNA". It matches the Rfam family "Bacterial small subunit ribosomal RNA", at positions 28 to 326 of the family's 1533-position model. The record is from RNAcentral.